CUCUACUAAAAAAUGCAAAAAUUAGCCGGGCGUGGUGGCGGUUGUCUGUAAUUUCAUCUACUCGGGAGGCUGAGGCAGGAGAAUCGCUUGAACCCGGGAAGUGGAGGUUGCAGUGAGCCCAGAUCGAGUCACAGCAUUCCAGCCUGGGCUACAAAGCAAGACUGCGUGUCAGAAAAAGAAAAGAAAAAUGGAUUCAAAGAUUUAUCACUGUUAAGUUCCACCAGCAAAUUAUUAAAUGUGGUUCCAAAGGGAUAUUUAAAAAGGGAAAUUAAAAUUGUUUCCAAGAAAGCCCUAUUCACAGCAGAAACGUAGACACUGUACCUGACCUCACCACACAAAGUUCCCUCAUGUGUUGGGAGGGACCAAGGGGCUCUCUGGUCCUGCACCUGCGUUAAUUAUGGCCGGGAGGUCCGCAGUAGGACCCUAAGGGCUAGGAACCAGCCUGGGUCAGGGGCAGAGAAGUGGUGGAUGUGGCUCCCAAAGUGGCUUAGGGGUUCCCUUCCCUGUGGCUGUUUCCUGACUGGAUGCAGCAGGGUCAGGCCUUUCAGUGUGACGUUUUCUACUCUUUAUUAGAGUGGCAGGAGCGUCCCUGUGCGAGGCCUGACCCAGGUGUGGGCCUUGCAGCCAGCUCGGGGUCCAAGGGGCACUCCUGCGGUGCUGCAAAGGAGGAUUUGUGACAACCCAGAGGAUGGAGGAAACGGCGGCUUUGAAAAGGCAAGUGCCAAGUUAUCAGGGAUCGCUUAUAUCCAUUUCUGGCAGUGAACUGACAAUUUCAGACACUCAGGAGGGAGCUUCCCGCGUGGGAUCACAAAAAGUCCGAGAAGUGUCAGACAUCUGGCCAUUAACCCCAUUCCUACGCAGGGACUACACUGCCGCUUGUCCGAAGGGGCGUGUCAGGGGCGGAGCGAGGAUGAGGGGCGGUGCCAAUAAAAGAGGCGGGGGAGAAGGGGCGGUGCUGAGGGGAGAGGCCGGGCCAAGGGAAGAAGCGUGCGAGAAAGGGUGGGGCGAGUCCAGCUACAGGAAGAGUAGCGUUACUAUGGCAACCCUGACAGGUUUGUGAGCAGCCCCCGGUCCCCUGCCGCUCCGUGAGAAAUCAAACUUCAGGCACUGACGAAGCAUGAAGCCAGCAUCUUAGGAAGAGGUAGUGACAUAAUUACAAGGGCGACCGGAUUACAAUCACAGCCAGCAUGAACAUGGGGCGGCGCACAGUCCUGAAGAGGAAAGCCGGGCUGUGUUGACCUCGCUGUGCAUGCUGGGAGUUGUAGUCUCUUCACUGCUCCCGCCCGUUGUUUCAGGCACUUCGGGACUACAAUCCCAGCAUGACCCGGGCUCGGGGACGGGGCGCAGUUCUCGUGGGAGGAGCGGGGCGGUGAGAGCCUGGCUAGGCAGGCUGGAAACAGUAGCUCUUAACGGUCCCCCGCCCGUUGGUGGCAAGGCGGCUGGACUGGAAUCCCAGCAGGCGACAUGCGAGGAGGCGGGCAGCCCAGGAGGGUUGGACACGGCAAUGUGGACCUCGCCGCUUCCACAACGAUGCUGGCUACUGAUCGCGUGCACUUCCUUGCCAAAGAAAAGAAAUUAAUGUUAUGACUGGAUGAAGACAAUUGUGAAGAAACUGCACUUUGAGGUUGUCUAUCUCUGUAUUCUGAUGGAAAAGCGUGGAGUUUAGAAGCACUGCUCACUCCUUCAGUUUCUAACAAGUUUGAGACUAUGGUUAGGUGGUGAGGAAGGCAGGCUCAGCACCCAAGCCUUGGGGAGACGCAGAAAGGGCCCAUCCCAGGCACUCAGGUGGAGUAAAACUGAUGCUCCAGAAAGAUGCCCAGGGAGAUUCUGUCCUGCUGCGUCCGCACUGUACAGAACUGACGCUGUGCCUACGCCCGUUUCAGAAGCGUGGAGUACUUAAGAGUUAAUCUAAAAAAGCAAAUAUAAAAA
RNAcentral lists this long non-coding RNA (1929 nucleotides) under Homo sapiens (human). RNAcentral's name for it is "HSALNT0123502". The record is from RNAcentral. Lineage: Eukaryota; Metazoa; Chordata; Mammalia; Primates; Hominidae.